ACCCAGUAAGGGGUGGAGACUCAAAGCAGCAGAAGGCUGCAGAGCUAGUUUGGAGAAGACACCAGACUCGGAGCUUGGUUGCAUAAGCCCUUAACACCUUGUUAAGGGUUUCUUUUUGUGGUUGUAAUGGGUGAGAGUUCUCCUGGAAACCUUCAUCAUGUUGAAUCCUGUUCAUCAAGCCCUUGGAGUCUUCAGGAGCCAACCCACUUGCAAAGAGGAAUUGGACUUGAAUUGGAAUUGGACAGUAUCAGUAGACUGUAUUGGACUUGAAUUGGAAUUGGACAGUAUCAGUAGACUGUAAAUAUAAGGACUUGAAAAUGCAACCUGAACAGGACCUUGAAGUGUGAUGUUAAAUGUUGAUGUUAUAUGUUAUAUGUUAAGAAAGUAAACCAUUUUGUUUUAAAA
Sphaerodactylus townsendi is the source of this 405-nucleotide long non-coding RNA. RefSeq lists it as uncharacterized. The transcript is spliced from 2 exons. The record is from RefSeq and is a predicted model, not a curated record. Lineage: Eukaryota; Metazoa; Chordata; Lepidosauria; Squamata; Sphaerodactylidae.